GAUGAAGAACGUAGCGAAAUGCGAUAAGUAAUGUGAAUUGCAGAAUUCAGUGAAUCAUCGAGUCUUUGAACGCACAUUGCGCCCGCCAGCAUUCUGGCGGGCAUGCCUGUUCGAGCGUCAUUUCAACCCUCGAGCCCCCCCGGGGGCCUCGGUGUUGGGGGACGGCACACCAGCCGCCCCCGAAAUGCAGUGGCGACCCCGCCGCAGCCUCCCCUGCGUAGUAGCACACACCUCGCACCGGAGCGCGGAGGCGGUCACGCCGUAAAACGCCCAACUUUCUUAGAGUUGACCUCGGAUCAGGUAGGAAUACCCGCUGAACUUAAGCAUAUCAAUAAGCGGAGGA
Molecule: unclassified non-coding RNA, 343 nt
Filed under: soil metagenome
Description: partial contains 5.8S ribosomal RNA, internal transcribed spacer 2, and large subunit ribosomal RNA
Rfam family: 5.8S ribosomal RNA (bases 1-120)
Source: RNAcentral